CGAAUUCGACCGAGCACCAAGGUAUGUGUCAUAGCGAAAACAUAAUUUAUGAAUAAACGACGACGUUUGGAACUUUAUCCAGUUAAAAAAACCCCCCUCGUAAAAUAUUAUGUCGCGUUCACUUGAUCAAAUUAUCCUGAAAUAAUCGUUCGUUAUCUCGGAAAGUAUUGACUUCUUUCGGAAUCCCGUAGUUUGUUAAAAACGUAUGAAUCAAGCAACAUUAAAAUAUUACAUUACAGUUAUUUUUUGUCGCUGUUAUUUUCGAGUGUAAAAUCAUUACCUACUUUGAUUUUCAAAUUGUAGUUAUGUAGUU
Molecule: non-coding RNA, 313 nt
Organism: Cinara cedri
Lineage: Eukaryota; Metazoa; Arthropoda; Insecta; Hemiptera; Aphididae
Source: the annotation of a GenBank genome assembly